This 552-nucleotide long non-coding RNA is filed under the name Mustela putorius furo (domestic ferret). RNAcentral describes it as "lncRNA (ENSMPUG00000027896.1)". Lineage: Eukaryota; Metazoa; Chordata; Mammalia; Carnivora; Mustelidae. The record is from RNAcentral.
CUGUUGUAUGCUCAUACUCUGCUAUUUUCUAUCUUCCAGAAUAUAAUUUGUGCUUUCCUCAACCCUAUACAGCUUCACAAAGGAAUCCACAUAUGGUCUGAAAACCGCCUCCCUACGUCAACUGGCCAGUUGGAGCCCCGGAGUCUUGUGCCUCCAAAGAAGUUGGCAGGUGAGGAUCCCAAGGCUGUAAAUAAAUAGUAAGCAACCUGCCCAAGUUCACAUAGCCAGGAAGUCUCAACAUGGAGACUGGAAUUUCUGACUUUAAGGGCCCCAGGUAGCAAGUAAGUAUCCCAAGAUCCCAUAACCAAAAGAUCCUGAUCCUGGGACCAAGGUGGGGAGAAUGGAGAAUAGGACCGCUAUUAGUUUGACAAAGCACUGUGCUAGGCUUUUUAACAAUCUUGUGAAAGCAGGAUUAUGAUCUACCUUUAAAAAAGUAGUUCAGCUUUGGGGCAGGGCUGGAUCUACUUGGGUGGUAGUGAAGUGGCCUCUGCCUCAGGGGCAGAGACAUAAUAAGCAGGUCAUCCCAAGUCUACUGAAGUAGUUUAUUAACUG